UGGCGGACGGGUAAGUAAUGUCUGGGAAACUGCCUGAUGGAGGGGGAUAACUACUGGAAACGGUAGCUAAUACCGCAUAACGUCGCAAGACCAAAGAGGGGGACCUUCGGGCCUCUUGCCAUCGGAUGUGCCCAGAUGGGAUUAGCUAGUAGGUGGGGUAACGGCUCACCUAGGCGACGAUCCCUAGCUGGUCUGAGAGGAUGACCAGCCACACUGGAACUGAGACACGGUCCAG
RNAcentral lists this ribosomal RNA (235 nucleotides) under uncultured bacterium. RNAcentral describes it as "partial 16S ribosomal RNA". It matches the Rfam family "Bacterial small subunit ribosomal RNA", at positions 96 to 334 of the family's 1533-position model. The record is from RNAcentral.